This 579-nucleotide ribosomal RNA is filed under the name Lysobacter sp. RDB-151. RNAcentral's name for it is "bacterial SSU rRNA". It matches the Rfam family "Bacterial small subunit ribosomal RNA", at positions 102 to 677 of the family's 1533-position model. Lineage: Bacteria; Pseudomonadati; Pseudomonadota; Gammaproteobacteria; Lysobacterales; Lysobacteraceae. The record is from RNAcentral. RNAcentral also lists the same sequence under 3 other names.
ACGGGUGAGGAAUGCGUCGGAAUCUGCCUAUUUGUGGGGGAUAACGUAGGGAAACUUACGCUAAUACCGCAUACGACCUACGGGUGAAAGUGGGGGACCGCAAGGCCUCACGCAGAUAGAUGAGCCGACGCCGGAUUAGCUAGUUGGCGGGGUAAAGGCCCACCAAGGCGACGAUCCGUAGCUGGUCUGAGAGGAUGAUCAGCCACACUGGAACUGAGACACGGUCCAGACUCCUACGGGAGGCAGCAGUGGGGAAUAUUGGACAAUGGGCGCAAGCCUGAUCCAGCCAUGCCGCGUGUGUGAAGAAGGCCUUCGGGUUGUAAAGCACUUUUGUCCGGAAAGAAAACCUUUCGAUUAAUACUCGGAGGGAAUGACGGUACCGGAAGAAUAAGCACCGGCUAACUUCGUGCCAGCAGCCGCGGUAAUACGAAGGGUGCAAGCGUUACUCGGAAUUACUGGGCGUAAAGCGUGCGUAGGUGGUUUGUUAAGUCUGAUGUGAAAGCCCUGGGCUCAACCUGGGAACUGCAUUGGAAACUGGCUUACUAGAGUGCGGUAGAGGGUAGUGGAAUUCCCGGUGUA